GAGUUUGAUCAUGGCUCAGAACGAACGCUGGCGGCAGGCCUAACACAUGCAAGUCGAGCGGCCGUAGCAAUACGGCAGCGGCGCACGGGUGAGUAACGCGUGGGAACCUACCCUUUGGUUCGGAACAACCCUGGGAAACUAGGGCUAAUACCGGAUGAUCCCCGAGAGGGGGAAAGAUUUAUCGCCGAAGGAGGGGCCCACGUCCGAUUAGCUAGUUGGUGAGGUAAGAGCUUACCAAGGCGACGAUCGGUAGCCGGUCUGAGAGGACGAUCGGCCACACUGGGACUGAGACACGGCCCAGACUCCUACGGGAGGCAGCAGUGGGGAAUAUUGGACAAUGGGCGCAAGCCUGAUCCAGCCAUGCCGCGUGGAUGAUGAAGGCCUUC
Molecule: ribosomal RNA, 386 nt
Filed under: uncultured Alphaproteobacteria bacterium
Lineage: Bacteria; Pseudomonadati; Pseudomonadota; Alphaproteobacteria
Description: bacterial SSU rRNA
Rfam family: Bacterial small subunit ribosomal RNA
Source: RNAcentral